Molecule: ribosomal RNA, 253 nt
Filed under: uncultured bacterium
Lineage: Bacteria
Description: partial 16S ribosomal RNA
Rfam family: Bacterial small subunit ribosomal RNA
Source: RNAcentral
UACGAAGGGGGCUGGCGUUGCUCGGAAUCACUGGGCGUAAAGCGCACGUAGGCGGCUUUUUAAGUCAGGGGUGAAAUCCUGGAGCUCAACUCCAGAACUGCCUUUGAUACUGAGAAGCUUGAGUCCGGGAGAGGUGAGUGGAACUGCGAGUGUAGAGGUGAAAUUCGUAGAUAUUCGCAAGAACACCAGUGGCGAAGGCGGCUCACUGGCCCGGUACUGACGCUGAGGUGCGAAAGCGUGGGGAGCAAACAGG